GGAGGUGUCGCCUAAUGGUAUGGCAGCAGUCUACUAAACUGUCGAGCAAUGAACUCGUAUAGGUUCGACUCCUAUCACCUCCG
Molecule: transfer RNA, 83 nt
Filed under: Acidobacteriota bacterium
Lineage: Bacteria; Pseudomonadati; Acidobacteriota
Description: Acidobacteria bacterium (activated sludge metagenome) tRNA-Ser
Rfam family: tRNA
About the family: Transfer RNA (tRNA) molecules are approximately 80 nucleotides in length.
Source: RNAcentral